RNAcentral lists this RNase P RNA (433 nucleotides) under Deltaproteobacteria bacterium. RNAcentral describes it as "RNase P RNA component class A". It matches the Rfam family "Bacterial RNase P class A". Rfam says of the family: Ribonuclease P (RNase P) is a ubiquitous endoribonuclease, found in archaea, bacteria and eukarya as well as chloroplasts and mitochondria. The record is from RNAcentral. Lineage: Bacteria; Pseudomonadati; Myxococcota; Myxococcia.
GGAGGUGGGCGGAGGACCGCCGGCGGGCAGGCACCGCCCGCGGGAGGAAAGUCCGGGCUCCACAGGGCAGGGAGAUCGCUAACGGCGAUCCGGGGCGACCCGAGGGAAAGUGCCACAGAAACCACACCGCCGAUGGCCGUGGAGGCCGGCAGCCCUGGUGAGGGCGGCCGGCGGAGGCACAGGCAAGGGUGAAAUCGUGGGGUAAGGGCCCACGCGCGACGGCCGGGUGACCGGCGGCGGGGCAAACCCCUCCCGGAGCAAGCUCGAAUAGGGGCGCCGCGAGGGCGGCCCGUCCGAGGGCCCGCAAGGGUCCCGGCGCCCGGGUGAGAGCGCUCGAGCGGCGCAGCAAUGCGCCGCCUAGACGAAUGGUCCUCACCCGCCGCGGGGCGACCUGCGGCGGGGACAGAACCCGGCUUACAGCCCACGUCGGGGC